AACAUUGUAUCUAGUGAUCACAUCACUCGACAGUUGAAUACUUAAUCACUUAUCCUGGUGCAACUAAAUUCUAACAUUUUCCAAAAAAAGAGUGGAAAAAGCCCUUCGAACAAAGAAACCCCUCCAUAACAAGGGCAACACUGGGCAAAGCUUCUCGACCUAUCGACACCAGCCAGCCAAUACAUUAUCCGCAAAUAUUAUUGAAAAAUGGUGUAACCCAUCAAUCACACACGCCCCCGGUUGUAUCGAAACGGGCCAGCGUUUUUUUUGUUUUUUUUUUUUCGUAAACGUUUUGCCCACCGGUUUGCCUGGGCCUGUUAGGAAAAGUUGAAGUUGGAAAGCAUUCUCGCUGUGCUAACCGUUCAACAUGCCAGCCAUGCCGGGGAGGCCGUACGCAAACUCGCCUUGCCUGGUUCGCUCUACGCACGUCGCAGCGCAGUGGUAUCCCUUUGGCUCGGCUCCUGGCCCUCCCCGCCAAGGACUACUACUCCAAAGCCUGCCACCGAACUUCACCCGAACGGAAGACACUCUUGUUAUUUAUCAAUGAAACUACGGACUCCCGCUCUCGGCGAUGCGCUCUCUCGCUCACGCGCAAACACAUACGCACGUAUCCGGCUGCUAUCGCCGCGUGUGUUGCUGUUGUUACCCGGCCGGCCCCCGUUUGGUGCCUGUAUCGGUGUGGUUGUGAGACAGGAAAUUGUGUACGAAAAGCCGUUGCCGGGGGCCCGGUGCGCACGGGACGCCUGUGUAGGCGUUUACAUAGGCGCAGAAGACUCCACGGAAGGCUGGAAAUAGCAACCGACCCGGCAUCAUCAAUAGCGCCUGGGAAGCAGCUCUCCGAAGCUCGAUGAUACAGCACGAUACCACACCGCGUGCGAGGUUGCGAAUUUGCGUAAUGGAACAUUACACUGCCCAUUCUUUCAAGGCCAAUGAGCAUCAAUGAAAGCUGCUCGGCGAAAUGUCACCCUCUCCGGCGAAAUGUAAAGACGAGCGUAAUGAUCGAAUUAAACCCGUUGAAGGAAACCAUUUUUUGAAAAGAAAGGGAAAACAAUAUUUUAGUGCAAAAUCGCCCAACAAAACGAUACGUUGAAGCAACAUAAGAAACUGAAACAGUCGCGCGAAUUAACAGCGUUCCCUCAUUAGUGGCUGUUGUUGCGGAGAAGGCAACAGGAAACAAAGCGCCACUCGCAGCCGGAAAUUCCAUUUAAUAUUGAAACGCAUCAACCUCCCUCCCAAUAGGAAAACUAGAUACAGAGAAAGAGAGAAAGCGAUAGAGCAAGCAUGGUGGGGAAUGGUCACGAGAGCGAACGAAAUGGCAGGACCGCUACGCUACGCGGCAGCAUGCCCAACUCAUUCAAUCAACGCACAAAUAGUGUCCUUGAUCUUCAAAAAGCUGAAUUGCACGCGUGUGCACUCCGUUGCUGAAACGGUCCUUGUGUGUAUGUGUGUGGUGUGCGCUCUCUUUCUCGUACUGGCCGGCGGGAAGAGGGUCGCUCCCAGACCGGUCUCGCCUUAGCACGCGCGCACGAGCAUUGGCACGAGUGGGCGAUAUAUUCUAUCGCCUAGUCUGGAUGUAUGGGUGUGUUGUGCAUCGUGCACUGAGUGCAAUCGCGUGGCGAGAAGAAGGACCUAUAAUACUACGGCACCGUUUUGGAGAGCGAUUUGCCGAGCAAACAAGUUCCUGCUUCCUUUUUUUUUCGCUCCCCCAAAGCGCGUUGGAAGAGUUGGGGCAUUGGAUGUGAAUUCACCUGCCUACUACUAACGCCAUUACUACUACUACUACUACUACUGGAUGCUUUUUUUUUUGGUAUGAAACACACCGUACCCCCAUCACCCCGAAGCAAGGGGUUUUGCUAAUCGAUUCUUGGGGUUUCCUGCCAUUUCAUGCGCACACCGGUGCACGCUUGCCGGCUGAGAGACGAUGGUUGGUUAGAGCGAGCGACAGUGGCGCAGGGCAUAGAGGAAAAAAAGCAGUGGAUGUAUGUGUGCCUUUCCGUAGUAAUACGGUUUGUUUGAUGCACACACAACCACUACAACAACUAACUACCACCAGUACCACAACCACCCCCCGAAAAGGACCGGAAGCACCGUUGCGCCGCGUGUACGCAUGCAUACCAUUAGCACAGUUAUCCUUGAAAUCAUCACCCCUCCCCCCUAUUGGCCACGCUGGCGUAAUGUGCAAUGCCGGGACGUGUGUGUGUGUGUUUGUAAAGAGGCUAUAUAAAUCAUUCUACAUCAUAUCCCCCUCGUGCACUAGGGGUUGAAUGUUGUUUGAGCAUAUUUUUAGAACGAUUACCCUUUUUAAUGAUCCAGAAUGAAAUGGCGUUUGGCGGUGUGCGGAGUGUCCUGCGGGAUAUGGGAUAUAUACAUUAUUUCUUGUUCCGUUCCCUCUAUCGCUCCCCUGCUAUGAAUAAUUACGCUAAUCUCGCUAGAUA
Anopheles arabiensis is the source of this 2435-nucleotide long non-coding RNA. RefSeq lists it as uncharacterized. The transcript is spliced from 2 exons. Lineage: Eukaryota; Metazoa; Arthropoda; Insecta; Diptera; Culicidae. The record is from RefSeq and is a predicted model, not a curated record.